UGCCAAAGAACUUGCCCUGAGGGCCAGCACC
This 31-nucleotide non-coding RNA is filed under the name Rattus norvegicus (Norway rat). The record is from RNAcentral. Lineage: Eukaryota; Metazoa; Chordata; Mammalia; Rodentia; Muridae.